This 85-nucleotide transfer RNA is filed under the name Felis catus (domestic cat). It matches the Rfam family "tRNA". From Rfam's summary of the family: Transfer RNA (tRNA) molecules are approximately 80 nucleotides in length. Their secondary structure includes four short double-helical elements and three loops (D, anti-codon, and T loops). Lineage: Eukaryota; Metazoa; Chordata; Mammalia; Carnivora; Felidae. The record is from Rfam by way of RNAcentral.
ACCUGGGUGGCCCAGUUGGUUGGGCUUCUGACUUCAGCUCAGACCGUUAUCUCAUAGCUUGUGGGUUUGAGCCCCGCAUCGGGCU